CGCCAGUCUCGCGCGGAACGCUGUCGAGGACGGACGCUUGCCGCGCUUUGUAAUGCGAUCGGACAAUAUAAACUAGUUUUACUUCGAAAUAUCUAGUGCGUUAUUUUUUCAAAUUCACGUGCGUUUGUGGACAACAAUAGUGAUUGUAACAUUCGAUUAACCGUACGGUUUGAUCGGGAGCCGUUGACUUUACUAAAACAAAGCCAUAGUUUGAGGUGAACGUGCUUCAUUAAAUCGUAAAUCACAGAAUAUUGCGGCUCGGCUUCGCGGAAGGACGGGGCACACUGGUCGACAAUGAAUUAGAUAUCGCGCCAACGAUAUCAAAACGAACGUUGGGGAUUUCGCAAAGACAAACAACGGGCCCAUUCACGAACGGCCACCGCGGCCAAUGAUGAGUAAUAAGGUAAGAUAUAUUAUAAGGAACAC
Long non-coding RNA from Papilio polytes (common Mormon), 426 nucleotides. RefSeq lists it as uncharacterized. The transcript is spliced from 4 exons. Lineage: Eukaryota; Metazoa; Arthropoda; Insecta; Lepidoptera; Papilionidae. The record is from RefSeq and is a predicted model, not a curated record.